RNAcentral lists this ribosomal RNA (253 nucleotides) under uncultured bacterium. RNAcentral's name for it is "partial 16S ribosomal RNA". It matches the Rfam family "Bacterial small subunit ribosomal RNA", at positions 524 to 776 of the family's 1533-position model. The record is from RNAcentral.
UACGAAGGGGGCUAGCGUUGUUCGGAAUUACUGGGCGUAAAGGGCGCGUAGGCGGCCGGUUACGUUAGAUGUGAAAGUCCUGGGCUCAACCUGGGGACUGCAUUUAAUACUGGUUGGCUUGAAUUCGGGAGAGGAUAGCGGAAUUCCCAGUGUAGAGGUGAAAUUCGUAGAUAUUGGGAAGAACACCGGUGGCGAAGGCGGCUAUCUGGACCGACAUUGACGCUGAGGCGCGAAAGCGUGGGGAGCAAACAGG